Molecule: ribosomal RNA, 492 nt
Filed under: uncultured bacterium
Lineage: Bacteria
Description: partial 16S ribosomal RNA
Rfam family: Bacterial small subunit ribosomal RNA
Source: RNAcentral
AGUGAACGCUGGCGGUAGGCCUAACACAUGCAAGUCGAACGGCAGCACAGUAAGAGCUUGCUCUUACGGGUGGCGAGUGGCGGACGGGUGAGGAAUACAUCGGAAUCUACUUUUUCGUGGGGGAUAACGUAGGGAAACUUACGCUAAUACCGCAUACGACCUACGGGUGAAAGCAGGGGAUCUUCGGACCUUGCGCGAUUGAAUGAGCCGAUGUCGGAUUAGCUAGUUGGCGGGGUAAAGGCCCACCAAGGCGACGGACCGUAGCUGGUCUGAGAGGAUGAUCAGCCACACUGGAACUGAGACACGGUCCAGACUCCUACGGGAGGCAGCAGUGGGGAAUAUUGGACAAUGGGCGCAAGCCUGAUCCAGCCAUACCGCGUGGGUGAAGAAGGCCUUCGGGUUGUAAAGCCCUUUUGUUGGGAAAGAAAAGCAGCAGGUUAAUACCCCGCUGUUCUGACGGUACCCAAAGAAUAAGCACCGGCUAACUUCGUG